Molecule: long non-coding RNA, 1482 nt
Organism: Sinocyclocheilus anshuiensis
Lineage: Eukaryota; Metazoa; Chordata; Actinopteri; Cypriniformes; Cyprinidae
Source: Ensembl
UCAGCAUUUGAACUACUGUGUGUGUGUGUAUUUUGUAGUUUUUCAUAUGUAUCAUUACAUUGGUUCAAGAUGGCGCCGAGCAUGGCAGCCGUGUUGCGAGCUCCGAGAAAACUCUGCAGUUUUUCGUUUGUUUUACUUGUUAUUUUGUUGUUCUACGUGUUGGAUGUUGUUAGUAUAACUGUCUACGAUAGACACACGCUUUUAAACAUUGGCUCCUACGUCGCGCAACGCAAACCGGACUUUGAGUUCUUGAACGCCGGCGCUCUGUUUACAGACACCGCAUCAGAGCCCUUUGUCUGGGCCGCACGGUCGCGACCGAGGAAACGCCGCCGGAAAAGGGGGAAGAGAGCCGGCGUCCUUGUCAGACUCAGACGUCGACCCCUCCGACCUCUUCUCCCAACCAUUUUGCUGGCUAACGUUCAGUCACUGGACAACAAACUCUGUGAACUGCGGGCACGCAUCUCAUACCAACGAGAAACAAGGGACUGCUGCAUUAUUUGCCUCACAGAAACCUGGAUGUCUGCAGAGGUUCCAGACUCAGCCAUCGAGCUUACGGGGUUCUCCGUGCACCGCUCGGACAGAACAAAAGAGCUCACAGGGAAAAGCAGAGGUGGGGGCGUUUGUUUCUUUAUCAACCGCUCGUGGUGUGAUGAGAGGAACCUACACUCUAUUAAAUCCUUCUGCUCCCCUGAUCUGGAAUUUCAUAUGCUUCUGUGUCGACCAUUCUGGCUACCGAGGGAAUUUACAGCGAUCAUAAUCACAGCUGUUUACAUUCCCCCUCAAGCCAACACAGACCAGGCACUCAAGGAACUGUAUGGGAAUAUAAGUGAGCAGGAAACCGCUUACCCAGAUGCGGCGUUUAUUGUUACGGGGGACUUUAACAAAGCCAACUUCAGAACAAUAACUCCAAAAUAUUUUCAACACAUCACCAUCAACACACGUGGUGAUCGUGCACUGGACCACUGCUACUCUCCUUUCCGGGACGCCUACAAAUCCCUCCCCCGCCCACCUUUCGGCAAAUCGGAUCACUCUUCCAUUCUGCUCCUGCCUGCUUAUAGGCAGAAACUGAAACGGGAAGCACCCGCCCUCAGGACAAUUCAAUGCUGGUCGGACCAAUCAGACGCUAUACUACAGGACUGUUUUGAUCACGUGGACUGGGACAUGUUCCGGGCAGCGUCUGAUGACGACAUAGAGGCAUACUCAGAUACUGUAACAUGUUUCAUCAGGAAGUGCGUAGAAGAUGUAGUGCCGACAAAAACAAUCCGCAUCUACCCCAACCAAAAACCGUGGAUUAAUAGCGAUGUUCGAGCAGCCUUGUCAGCGCGGACAUCUGCUUUUAAAUCCGGAACCACUGAACAAGCCAGUUACGGUCUCAGGAAAUCCAUCAAAGCCGCAAAAAGACAAUAUAAAAACAAAGUUGAAGAACAAUUCAACACCAACAAUGCAAGAAGCAUGUGGCAGGGCAUCAAUAACAUAACAGAC